GUUCAUGGUUGGGGGUGGAGGUAAGAAAUGCCAUAAGGAGGACUAUAAGUGACUUUCUGGCCAGCCAAAGAAAUGUCAUAGAAGAAGAAAGAAGGAAGAUACAAAUGAGAAGAGAAAAGAAGUUGGCAUCUCAGAGAGAAGCAGAAAACCAGUCUCUCCCUUUCCUUCUGUCAAGAAGGCUAAGAGAUACCUCUCAGUACAUCUAGAAGACCAUGCGUGAAGUUAGUUAAGAGCAACAGCAAUAACGAUCUCCAAGUCAUUGACUAAACCACCAAUAGGAGGCAAGCUGAGUUAUUUUAAGUGUUGACACAGGCCCAGUGGAUCUCAGGUCGAGGACAUCUGCCCUGACUUAGGCAUUUAUUAAAAAAAUAUUGUUCUGUUCUGGAAUUCAGAAAAACUUAGAAGAA
Molecule: long non-coding RNA, 407 nt
Organism: Talpa occidentalis (Iberian mole)
Lineage: Eukaryota; Metazoa; Chordata; Mammalia; Eulipotyphla; Talpidae
Exons: 3
Source: RefSeq, a predicted model, not a curated record